UACGUAGGUGACAAGCGUUGUCCGGAUUUACUGGGCGUAAAGAGCGCGCAGUCGGUCGUUCAAGUCGCGUGUGAAAGCCCCCGGCUCAACUGGGGAGGGUCACGCGAUACUGAUCGACUCGAAGGCAGGAGAGGGUAGUGGAAUUCCCGGUGUAGUGGUGAAAUGCGUAGAUAUCUGGAGGAACACCGGUGGCGAAGGCGGCAUCCUGGACCAAUAUUGACGCUGAGGAGCGAAAGCCAGGGGAGCAAACGGG
RNAcentral lists this ribosomal RNA (253 nucleotides) under uncultured bacterium. Its description in RNAcentral is "partial 16S ribosomal RNA". It matches the Rfam family "Bacterial small subunit ribosomal RNA", at positions 524 to 776 of the family's 1533-position model. The record is from RNAcentral.